GGCAGGUAACCUAGUGAUUAAGCACAUUGGGCCAGUAAUCGAAAGGUUGCUGGUUCAAAUCCCGAGCCGGCUAGGUGAAAAAUCUGUUGAUCUGCCCUUGAGCAAGGCACUUAACCCUAAUUGCUCCUGUAAGUUGCUCUGGAUAAGAGCAUCUGCUAAAUGACUCAAAUGUAAAUGUAUUCUGUUACCUGACACUGAAGAUGCAUGUGGAGAUACUGAGAAAGUGUGUCUCUCUGGUGUCUCUGCUGUUCUCCUCACACUCUCCUCUCUACUGGGUAUCCUGACUGAGGACACUCUGUGUGCUGCAUCCACUAGUUCUGUUUCAGAGAAAGCUCUUCCUGAUAAAGCCCUUCCAGAAUGUCUUGCAGCAGUCACUAAUGCCGAAGCCCUGCCAACAGAAGCAGUCGGAGGCACCAGUAGCUCCUCCACAUUACUGAAGACUUCUCUUGAAGUUGAUUCAGCUGCUCUCUCAUCUACAGAGGCAGAGGAGAGCCUGGCCAGACUGGAUUUAGGUGAAAUUGUUAAUUCUUUCCCUCUCUCACUGCGAGGUGCAGAAGGAACCCUGGUCAGGCUGGAGAUGGAUGAUUUGUCUGUACCCUUCAGAGAUUCAUCAGAAUGAGCUGUGAGGAUAGAGGAUGCAAUGGCAAAGGUUUUAAACAUUACUAUGUAUCUUGUCAUAUAUUGUCCCUAAACAGUUUGUGCCAAACUGGCAAUACAUUUUUGAGUAUAGAUUAAUAUCAUACCUGACAGAAGAGAAUAUACUCUGGGAGAUGUGUGUCUCUCUGGUGUCUCUGGUGUUCUCCCUACACUCUCCUUUCUACAAGGUAUCCCGAAUGACGACACUAUCCAUGCUGCUCUGGCUCCCACUAUCUCCGAGGAGGAUACUUUCUCUCAGCUAAAGAGGUAUUACUCCAGGCAGACGGCAUGCAAGACAGGCUGUCCAUUGAGGGAACUUUGUGGAACACCACCACAUCAUCAGACAUCACCUCUGUUGGGUCAUUCACCCAAACCUUAUUCCCCUCACCAACCGAAAGAGUCCAGGUCAAACUACCCCUGGAAGAUACACCUGAGGAUAGACGUCUGUCGCUGUGGAAGACAAUGGUCUCCGGAGGAUUCUCAGAGUGGACAAUGACGGUGUUGUUGGUCGGGGCGCUGUCGGUGCUGAUCAGGACCGCAGAGUGGUUGGCCUCCAGUAGACUGUCCCCUGACGGAGAUCUCUGGAACACGGCUGACUGCACUGCAGAACCCGGCCCGGCCUGGGCCCCCUCCUCUUCCACAGCUGGGCUGGGUUGAUCUCCAAGCUGGGCUGGGCUGGACUGAGCUCCAUCUCCAGGGAGGGUUGGGCUGGAUUGACCUCCAACGUCAUCUCCAUUGUGGGUUCCUCCAGGGGGACUGCUCAGCGACUGAGCCUGCUCAUCUGGCCCACCCAUGGGCUCACUGGAGGGGACAUUGGACUCCUGGGUGGAUCUUGGGCUGAUCCUCUGGCUGACUGACAGUGUCUCCUCAGCCAGGAGGAGCAACAUCUGGUCGCAGUGCACAGGUGCAGGCUCUCCGGGUGGAUACUGUAGGCCUUGCUGCCUGUGCAUUAAGUCUAUGGAAGCUUUCCAGUCUUCGACAUAAUUUGCCUCUAUUGAAAAAAUAAAAAUGUAGGAAAUUGUGAGGCAUGUGUGCAAGACAUUCAACUGUAUUAAUUUUAAAGCAUUUAAAGUCCUUACCACGUAUCUCUUGGUACAGAUAUGUUAUAUCCUUGGUAUCCAUCAAAG
This 1763-nucleotide long non-coding RNA is filed under the name Salmo salar (Atlantic salmon). RNAcentral's name for it is "lncRNA (ENSSSAG00000120799.1)". The stretch from base 116 to 169 matches the Rfam family "UnaL2 LINE 3' element". Lineage: Eukaryota; Metazoa; Chordata; Actinopteri; Salmoniformes; Salmonidae. The record is from RNAcentral.